This 253-nucleotide ribosomal RNA is filed under the name uncultured bacterium. RNAcentral describes it as "partial 16S ribosomal RNA". It matches the Rfam family "Bacterial small subunit ribosomal RNA", at positions 524 to 776 of the family's 1533-position model. The record is from RNAcentral.
UACGGGGGGGGCAAGCGUUGUUCGGAAUUACUGGGCGUAAAGGGUGCGUAGGCGGUUCGCUAAGUUGGAUGUGAAAACUAUGGGCUCAACCCAUAGCCUGCAUCCAAUACUGACGAACUAGAGUUCUGGAGGGGGUAGCGGAAUUCCUGGUGUAGCGGUGAAAUGCGUAGAUAUCGUGAGGAAUACCAGAGGCGAAGGCGGCUACCUGGACAAUUGCUGACGCUCAGGCACGAAAGCGUGGGGAGCAAAAGGG